UACGUAGGGGGCGAGCGUUGUCCGGAUUUAUUGGGCGUAAAGGGCUUGUAGGUGGCCACGUCAAGUCGGAUGUGAAAUCUCCCGGCUCAACUGGGAGGGGUCAUUCGAUACUGGCGGGCUCGAGGCCGGUAGGGGGAAGCGGAAUUCCCGGUGUAGAGGUGAAAUUCGUAGAUAUCGGGAGGAACACCAGUGGCGAAGGCGGCGAUCUGGGAAGAUACUGACGCUGAGGUGCGAAAGCGUGGGGAGCAAACAGG
RNAcentral lists this ribosomal RNA (254 nucleotides) under uncultured bacterium. RNAcentral describes it as "partial 16S ribosomal RNA". It matches the Rfam family "Bacterial small subunit ribosomal RNA", at positions 524 to 776 of the family's 1533-position model. The record is from RNAcentral.